UUUGUAACUGUGUGACUGAAGCAGUUCCAAAGUUGCUGAGUUACAAACAGAGGGCUCAACUCAUCCUGGGCCUGAGAGCAAGGAUGAUCUUGGAGUUGUUCCGCAAGGACCCACCCAACCUUCAGGACAUCCAACGUCUCCUGGAAAAGAUGAACAUCUUGGGGCAGCCAGAUGCAGAAGUGGAUGAGUCACAGGCUAACUUUUGGCGCUGGUCCAAACCCUGCUGAAAAACCCUUAUGAGAGGAAGCACUUCUUCCAGGAGGAGUUCCAUACACAGUAUGGCUCCAAGUAUGACACAGCACUGCAGGCCUUG
This is a long non-coding RNA of Salvelinus sp. IW2-2015, 313 nucleotides long. RefSeq lists it as uncharacterized. Lineage: Eukaryota; Metazoa; Chordata; Actinopteri; Salmoniformes; Salmonidae. The record is from RefSeq and is a predicted model, not a curated record.